Molecule: ribosomal RNA, 972 nt
Filed under: uncultured archaeon
Lineage: Archaea
Description: bacterial SSU rRNA
Rfam family: Archaeal small subunit ribosomal RNA
Source: RNAcentral
ACUGCUCAGUAACACGUGGACAACCUGCCCUUAGGUUGGGUAUAAACCCGGGAAACUGGGUAUAAUACCCGAUAGGUCUCGAUUGCUGGAAUGCAUCGAGAUUUAAAGCUCCGGCGCCUAAGGAUGGGUCUGCGGCCUAUCAGGUAGUAGUGGGUGUAGCGUACCUACUAGCCUACGACGGGUACGGGUUGUGAGAGCAAGAGCCCGGAGAUGGAUUCUGAGACACGAAUCCAGGCCCUACGGGGUGCAGCAGGCGCGAAAACUUUACAAUGCUGGCAACAGCGAUAAGGGAACCUCGAGUGCCAGGUUACAAAUCUGGCUGUCGAGAUGCCUAAAAAGCAUUUCAUAGCAAGGGCCGGGCAAGACCGGUGCCAGCCGCCGCGGUAACACCGGCGGCUCGAGUGGUAACCGUUAUUAUUGGGUCUAAAGGGUCUGUAGCCGGCCGGAUAAGUCUCUUGAGAAAUCUGGCAGCUUAACUGUCAGGCUUUCAGGAGAUACUGUCUGGCUCGAGGCCGGGAGAGGUGAGAGGUACUUCAGGGGUAGGGGUGAAAUCUUGUAAUCCUUGAAGGACCACCAGUGGCGAAGGCGUCUCACCAGAACGGACCUGACGGCAAGGGACGAAAGCUAGGGGCACGAACCGGAUUAGAUACCCGGGUAGUCCCAGCCGUAAACGAUACUCGCUAGGUGUCGGCCACGGUGCGACCGUUGUCGGUGCCGUAGGGAAGCCAUGAAGCGAGCCACCUGGGAAGUACGGCCGCAAGGCUGAAACUUAAAGGAAUUGGCGGGGGAGCACCACAACGGGUGGAGCUUGCGGUUUAAUUGGAUUCAACGCCGGAAAUCUUACCGGGACCGACAGCGAUAUGAAGGCCAGGCUGAAGACUUUGCCGGAUUAGCUGAGAGGUGGUGCAUGGCCGUCGUCAGUUCGUACUGUGAAGCAUCCUGUUAAGUCAGGCAACGAGCGAGACCCCUGCC